AGUGUAAUGACUGGGUCAAAUGCGGUUCCAUUCCAAGUUUUAUGAGAAAUCUUCAUACUGCUUUCCAGAGUGGUUGUACCAAUUUGCUGCCCUACCAGCAAU
RNAcentral lists this microRNA precursor (102 nucleotides) under Marmota monax (woodchuck). The record is from RNAcentral. Lineage: Eukaryota; Metazoa; Chordata; Mammalia; Rodentia; Sciuridae.